This 377-nucleotide ribosomal RNA is filed under the name uncultured bacterium. RNAcentral's name for it is "bacterial SSU rRNA". It matches the Rfam family "Bacterial small subunit ribosomal RNA", at positions 523 to 898 of the family's 1533-position model. The record is from RNAcentral.
AUACGUAGGUGGCAAGCGUUGUCCGGAUUUAUUGGGCGUAAAGCGAGCGCAGGCGGUUUCUUAAGUCUGAUGUGAAAGCCCCCGGCUCAACCGGGGAGGGUCAUCGGAAACUGGGAAACUUGAGUGCAGAAGAGGAGAGUGGAAUUCCAUGUGUAGCGGUGAAAUGCGUAGAUAUAUGGAGGAACACCAGUGGCGAAGGCGGCUCUCUGGUCUGUAACUGACGCUGAGGCUCGAAAGCGUGGGGAGCAAACAGGAUUAGAUACCCUGGUAGUCCACGCCGUAAACGAUGAGUGCUAAGUGUUGGAGGGUUUCCGCCCUUCAGUGCUGCAGCUAACGCAAUAAGUAUCCCGCCUGGGGAGUAUGCACGCAAGUGUGAA